This 493-nucleotide ribosomal RNA is filed under the name uncultured bacterium. Its description in RNAcentral is "partial 16S ribosomal RNA". It matches the Rfam family "Bacterial small subunit ribosomal RNA", at positions 28 to 507 of the family's 1533-position model. The record is from RNAcentral.
GACGAACGCUGGCGGCGUGCCUAACACAUGCAAGUUGAGCGACGAACCAGGGCUUGCCCUGGGGCAAAGCAGCGAACGGGUGAGUAACACGUGGGUAACCUACCCCGAUAACCGGGACAACCCGAGGAAACUCGGGCUAAUACCGGAUGUGCUCACUGGACUUCGGUUCAGUGCGUAAAGGAAGCUUCGGCCUCCGUAUCGGGAGGGGCCCGCGGCCCAUUAGUUUGUUGGUGAGGUAACGGCUCACCAAGACCGCGAUGGGUAGCUGGUCUGAGAGGACGAUCAGCCACACUGGGACUGAGACACGGCCCAGACUCCUACGGGAGGCAGCAGUGGGGAAUCUUGCGCGAUGCGCGAAAGCGUGACGCAGCAACGCCGCGUGGGGGAAGAAGGCCUUCGGGUUGUAAACCCCUUUCAGGAGGGACGAAGGUUAGGCGGUGAAUAGCCGUCCGGACUGACGGUACCUCCACAAGAAGCCCCGGCUAACUACGUG